AAGCCAGGAGGGCUCAGGGGAGCCGGGACCCCUGCAAGGGCCUCUCCCUGCGGGCAGCAGCAGCGGGCUCCGGCGAUCCACAAAAGAGGACCAGAAGGUCUCAUUGAGAAAUGUAGAGAUCACUACCAAGGCAAGGAGCCAGGGGCAGACGCAGGAGGGUGAGGGCUGGCUCCGAGUCCCCCACGUUCUCCUCCUCCCCUCCCCCUCGCACUCCCCGAGCUGUCGGACCGACUCUGGCCAUCCCUUCUUUCCACUCAGCUGGUCCCCAGCAACCCCAUCCCUUCUGGCCUGGACUCACAAAGGCUCUCGGCUUCCAGUUCUCCAUUGGUUGCCGAAGGAGCCUCCUGAAGCACAGUUCUCAGUGUGCCGCUGCCCUGCUCAAGAACCUGCUUGUCUCCCUCUUACCGUUAGGAUAAAUUAGAUUUGGAGAGGGGCGGGAGCAGGGUUCUGAGACUAGAACCCAACAUUAGAAGAUGGGAAUCCCCUCUACAACACGAGGCAGCCAGGAGCACGUAGGACAAGGUGCUGGCCCCGGAGUCCAGACGACCCAAGUUCAAAUCCAGCCUCAGACACUAGCUGGGUGAUUCUGGGCAAGUCCCUUCACCCGGUUUGCCUCAGUUUCCUCAUCUGUAAAAUGAGCUGGAGAAGGAAGUGGCCAAUCACUCCAAAUCUCUGCCAAGAAACCCCUGAUGGAGAGUUGGACACUGGGCAACACCAGCGCUGCUGCUGAGUGGCUGGUCAUUCAGCCCAUCUGGAGACCUCGGGAUGGCCGAGUCUCCGCUUCUCUGGACAGCCCAUUGAUGCUCGGGCCGCCUCUCCGCGUUAGGUCUCUUUCCCGAGAUCCAGCCGUCUUCCUCUCCGCGUUAGGUCUCUUUCCCGAGAUCCAGCCGUCUUCCUCUCCGCGUUAGAUCUCUUUCCCGAGAUCCAGCCGUCUUCCUCUCCGCGUUAGGUCUCUUUCCCGAGAUCCAGCCGUCUUCCUCUCCGUGUUAGGACUCUUUCCCGAGAUCCAGCCGUCUUCCUCUCCGCGUUAGGACUCUUUCCUGAUAUCCAGCCGUCUUCCUCUCCGUGUUAGGUCUCUUUCCCGAGAUCCAGCCAUCUUCCUCUCUGUGUUAGGACUCUUUCCUGAUAUCCAGCCGUCUUCCUCUCAGUGUUAGGUCUCUUUCCCGAGAUCCAGCCAUCUUCCUCUCUGUGUUAGGACUCUUUCCUGAUAUCCAGCCGUCUUCCUCUCAGUGUUAGGUCUCUUUCCCGAGAUCCAGCCGUCUUCCUCUCAGUGUUAGGUCUCUUUCCCAAUAUCCAGCCGUCUUCCUCUCCGUGUUAGGACUCUUUCCGAGAUCCAGCCGUCUUCCUCUUUGUGCUUCCCAUUUCCCGGCCCUCUGGGGCUGUGCUGGACAAAGCGAACCCCACCUCUGCAGGACAGCUCAGCCCGAGUAGUUUUGUCCUUCGCUCGUGGAGCCCAGGCAGGAGAGGGGAGGAAACCUGCUGAUGGCCAGGGCCAGGCUGGCGCUGAAGCCCCCCCAAUCCUCCCUGCAUCGAGACACCCUAGAAGCGGGCUGGCAGUCCGACUCCGGGAUACCCCUUGUGGAAGGAUGGCCACCCGUCCGGACGCCUCACUCAGGGAACGGGCCGACCAGAAGUCCGGCCCCUCUUGACUCGGAACCUCAGCAAGGCAUGAAAUUUGCUCAGCACGUGAGGGUGACUUAGCUGCCUGAGGAGAAUGGCAGCUGGGGCAGAGGUGGGGAGCUACGCAGGGAGGGGCCGGGAGGUGAGGCUGUAGGCCGCAGUCAGGGUCCCCUUGAUUCCUGCCCCUCGGACCCAUUUCCUCCUGGCACUU
This is a long non-coding RNA of Antechinus flavipes (yellow-footed antechinus), 1831 nucleotides long. RefSeq lists it as uncharacterized. The record is from RefSeq and is a predicted model, not a curated record. Lineage: Eukaryota; Metazoa; Chordata; Mammalia; Dasyuromorphia; Dasyuridae. The transcript has 5 exons.